AAACCAGCACCUCAAGUGGUCAGGAUGAUUAUUGGGCCUAAAGCAUCCGUAGCCUGUUCUAUAAGUUUCCGGUUAAAUCCAUUAGCUCAACUAAUGGGCCGCCGAAAAUACUGUAGAACUAGGGAGUGGGAGAGGUAGACGGUAUUCGGUAGGAAGGGGUAAAAUCCUUUGAUCUAUUGAGGACCACCUGUGGCGAAGGCGGUCUACCAGAACACGUUCGACGGUGAGGGAUGAAAGCUGGGGGAGCAAACCGGAUUAGAAACCCCAGUAGUCC
RNAcentral lists this ribosomal RNA (274 nucleotides) under uncultured bacterium. Its description in RNAcentral is "partial 16S ribosomal RNA". It matches the Rfam family "Archaeal small subunit ribosomal RNA", at positions 473 to 747 of the family's 1478-position model. The record is from RNAcentral.